Molecule: long non-coding RNA, 1579 nt
Organism: Oncorhynchus kisutch (coho salmon)
Lineage: Eukaryota; Metazoa; Chordata; Actinopteri; Salmoniformes; Salmonidae
Source: Ensembl
CCCACCCCUCACAGAGGGGAUAACACAAGGGAGGGCUAGGCUCACUCAGACCAGAGGCUAAUUCCUCUCUUAGCAGCCGGCCGACUACAAACUAUUAUAGAGACGUUUUAUGUCUUGGAAAGGUGUCUGAGAAAACCUGGCUUCACAUACUGUAUUGAGGGAGUGGGAGGAAGCUUCUCCUUAUGGCAGAUGGGUAUUUUUGGCUUGUUGGCUUGUUUUACAUGCAGCGCCUCGAAAAGAGUCAUAAAGAUCUUAUCUAGGCCAAAGAGAAAAUGUGCGCUCAUUGAAAUAUAGAAUUAAAAUAUGCCUCAAUGUGAAUCACAUGCCAAUAUUGUAUGAACAGUCAUUUAGUGCAUAUUUUGUACAUUUGCACAUUGUUUACUGUAGAGUUACAUAAAAUGUUGAUGUACAUCCCUAAAUGGCAAAAUGAUAUCGUAGAUACAAAUGUCCAGCUGACAUUAUAUUGCUGAUUAAAUGUGUACUAUUCUAUUACUAUCCCUAUGACUAUUCUAGUAUCAGAUGUUAUCAAGCACGGUCUAUAUCCAUUCAAUAAUCUAUCCACUUGUGCCUGACAAUCUCUGUCAUUGUGGAAAUGAUUAGUUAACCCACUGCUGUUUCUUUACGUUUAUCCCUGGGGAUCUGUUCGCACAUUGUCUCGGGCUGUCUCCCCAACCAGUGGUCGGCCCCAUCGCCAGCGCCAUGGCCCUGCUGCCCACCCACCAUAUUGAGCAAACAGGACGAGCAAACAGCGGGGAGUGCCUCAGAUAGGUCCCCCCUGCCUCCGCCCAGAGCCCGGGCCGUGAGCAAACACUCCAGCCUGCAGAACAAAGGAGGAUGAAUAAUCGGAGGGAAAUGUCAACGUUUCAUCGUGGCUGCCCUGGCCCGCCCCUCGCACCGGUAACCCGAGAGGCAGGCGGGACGCCUGGAAUAUGGCCCAGCUGGUUCCUGAUGUUGCUAAUUGGUGCAAACGAGGGGGACCUGUGAUUGCGUGGCCAUGAAAACAAAACCCCCAGUAACAGGCUCGUGACAGGGCGGGGGACCCAGGGUUAAGGAGCUGCUUCCACCAAACUGUGACCUCUCACUCAACCAGGACCCAGCGGUGGGGGGCGAACAGGGACUCCGAACAGGGACUCCAACCAGGGACUCCAACCAGGGACUCCAACAAUGGACUCCACAGGCUCUUAUAGAUGUACAGACACAGGGAGAGGCUUUUUACGGACUUACUCAAUUUAGAGUAAUCAUUCUGCCUUUAGGUGUAGACAUGCCUAACAUCCUUAUACAGCCAUAACUGUCACUUGAAGUGAGCUUUUUAUGAUCAUGUAAUAACCGAGGGGUGGUAGACGAAGUGUCAGUGUUUUUAGCUAGACUUUUGCCAAGUAAGUGAUGAUAAGAAAGAUCGUAAUGAUGCUGAUGGGGAUGAGUGAAUACCGCCAGUGUUAUUGAUGAUUAGUCGAUUCUGGAGGAUUGCUAAUUUCCAGGGUAAUAUAGUCACCACACAGAAACAACUGACAGAGCUCCGGUAUUAUCCAUUUGAACAGCUGAAUACACACUGAGGCCACUCACUUUCAGUGGCUGGCUC